Non-coding RNA from Pelobates cultripes (western spadefoot toad), 318 nucleotides. The record is from the annotation of a GenBank genome assembly. Lineage: Eukaryota; Metazoa; Chordata; Amphibia; Anura; Pelobatidae.
CUCACAUGAGCCAUGAGUGCAAUCAAGGAGCAAAAGCUCCAGCAUAAAGUUGCCUCUUUUUUUUUGGUUGCAAGUAUAUAAGAACAGUACAUGUACUAUAUUCAAACAGUUAAAGACAUACGAUGCUAAGAUGCACUAUAUGUGAGGUGACCGGUAUGGCAUUAUACAUAUUAAAGAACGGUUUCAAACUAAAAGCAAAAACAUAUUAAGUAUUUGUUGUCGUGUAAAUCACAGGCUAAGUAUCUGGCUAUGGGUUUGCGCCUUGACUGGUUAUAUAACAUAUUCGUACAGAGAUGAAACUGUCUAGAGCAAGGUAGG